Molecule: ribosomal RNA, 253 nt
Filed under: uncultured bacterium
Lineage: Bacteria
Description: partial 16S ribosomal RNA
Rfam family: Bacterial small subunit ribosomal RNA
Source: RNAcentral
UACAGAGGUCUCAAGCGUUGUUCGGAUUCAUUGGGCGUAAAGGGUGCGUAGGCGGCGCGGUAAGUCGGGUGUGAAAUCUCGGGGCUUAACUCCGAAACUGCAUUCGAUACUGCCAUGCUUGAGGACUGGAGAGGAGACUGGAAUUUACGGUGUAGCGGUGAAAUGCGUAGAUAUCGUAAGGAAGACCAGUGGCGAAGGCGGGUCUCUGGACAUUACCUGACGCUGAGGAGCGAAAGUGUGGGGAGCGAACAGG